UAUCAUGUUUCAGAUCUAUUUGCUUUAUGCUAGCUAUUGAUGUAUGUUGGAUUUCAGCGCAUAUUCUUUUUAUUGCGUUUUCGAUCUACCGUUCUCCAACAUGAUGUAAAUUAGUUAUGUUUAUCCAUGAACGUGUUCGCAAACAACAACGUAAAAUCACCUUCAAUAUUGCGGAAUUAUGGUAACGAUGCAGAUUAAGUUUUCAUGGUGAAUUUUUAUGUAUUUGAGUUUUGAUUUGGCUGCAUUGUUACUUUGCUUCUUAGUGAUUUUGAUUGUGUUGAAAUUUUAGUGUGGUGUUUGUGUGUUCAUAUCU
This 313-nucleotide long non-coding RNA is filed under the name Lathyrus oleraceus (garden pea). RNAcentral's name for it is "Pisum sativum (pea) long non-coding RNA (PSAT_LNC018762)". The record is from RNAcentral. Lineage: Eukaryota; Viridiplantae; Streptophyta; Magnoliopsida; Fabales; Fabaceae.